CCUACGGGUGGCUGCAGUGGGGAAUAUUGCACAAUGGGCGCAAGCCUGAUGCAGCCAUGCCGCGUGUGUGAAGAAGGCCUUCGGGUCGUAAAGCACUUUCAGCGGGGAGGAAGGCGGUGAGGUUAAUAACCUCAUCGAUUGACGUUACCCGCAGAAGAAGCACCGGCUAACUCCGUGCCAGCAGCCGCGGUAAUACGGAGGGUGCAAGCGUUAAUCGGAAUUACUGGGCGUAAAGCGCACGCAGGCGGUCUGUCAAGUCGGAUGUGAAAUCCCCGGGCUCAACCUGGGAACUGCAUUCGCAACUGGCAGGCUAGAGUCUUGUAGGGGGGGGUAGAAUUCCAGUGGUAGCGGUGAAAUGCGUAGAGAUCUGGAGGAAUACCGGUGGCGAGGGCGGCCCCCUGGACAAAGACUGACGCUCAGGUGCGAAAGCGUGGGGAGCAAACAGGAUUAGAUACCCUUUAGUC
Molecule: ribosomal RNA, 464 nt
Filed under: uncultured Klebsiella sp.
Lineage: Bacteria; Pseudomonadati; Pseudomonadota; Gammaproteobacteria; Enterobacterales; Enterobacteriaceae
Description: bacterial SSU rRNA
Rfam family: Bacterial small subunit ribosomal RNA
Source: RNAcentral